AAGUGACUAGUUUAAGUAAAACAUUUGAUUUCGGCUCAAAAGCUUAUGGUUAAAGUCCAUGGUUACUAA
RNAcentral lists this transfer RNA (69 nucleotides) under Serranus notospilus (saddle bass). Its description in RNAcentral is "tRNA-Arg". It matches the Rfam family "tRNA". Rfam says of the family: Transfer RNA (tRNA) molecules are approximately 80 nucleotides in length. Their secondary structure includes four short double-helical elements and three loops (D, anti-codon, and T loops). The record is from RNAcentral. Lineage: Eukaryota; Metazoa; Chordata; Actinopteri; Perciformes; Serranidae.